Molecule: ribosomal RNA, 253 nt
Filed under: uncultured bacterium
Lineage: Bacteria
Description: partial 16S ribosomal RNA
Rfam family: Bacterial small subunit ribosomal RNA
Source: RNAcentral
UCCGUAGGGGGCAAGCGUUGUCCGGAUUUAUUGGGCGUAAAGAGCGUGUAGGCGGCCAGACAAGUGCGGUGUGAAAACUAGAGGCUUAACCUCUAGACGUCGAUGGAAACUGUUUGGCUAGAGUCCGGAAGAGGAGAAUGGAAUUCCUGGUGUAGCGGUGAAAUGCGCAGAUAUCAGGAGGAACACCGGUGGCGAAGGCGGUUCUCUGGGCCUGUACUGACGCUGAGGAGCGAAAGCGUGGGGAGCGAACAGG